CCUGUGUCGCUCACCUUGGUCUAUGUGAAUAUUAAACAAUGGACACAGAUGGAUUCAUGACAAAAUUGUGUUUUGGUGAUGGUGAUGUGUUUGUAGAUCUUACUUUACUAAACAUUCUUGCUACUUACAAUUAUCUCUAUCUAUAACAGUACUUUCUGUGGAAAAUGUUAUUGAAAAUCUUCAAAUUUUAAGAAAAUUGUUAAAAAUUGACUAUGAAGGGC
RNAcentral lists this long non-coding RNA (221 nucleotides) under Mytilus galloprovincialis (Mediterranean mussel). The record is from RNAcentral. Lineage: Eukaryota; Metazoa; Mollusca; Bivalvia; Mytilida; Mytilidae.